This 429-nucleotide ribosomal RNA is filed under the name Acidobacteriota bacterium. RNAcentral describes it as "Acidobacteria bacterium partial 16S ribosomal RNA". It matches the Rfam family "Bacterial small subunit ribosomal RNA", at positions 355 to 776 of the family's 1533-position model. Lineage: Bacteria; Pseudomonadati; Acidobacteriota. The record is from RNAcentral.
UGGGGAAUUUUGGACAAUGGGGGAAACCCUGAUCCAGCCAUCCCGCGUGUGCGAUGAAGGCCUUCGGGUUGUAAAGCACUUUUGGCAGGAAAGAAACGUCAUGGGUUAAUACCCCGUGAAACUGACGGUACCUGCAGAAUAAGCACCGGCUAACUACGUGCCAGCAGCCGCGGUAAUACGUAGGGUGCAAGCGUUAAUCGGAAUUACUGGGCGUAAAGCGUGCGCAGGCGGUUCGGAAAGAAAGAUGUGAAAUCCCAGAGCUCAACUUUGGAACUGCAUUUUUAACUACCGGGCUAGAGUGUGUCAGAGGGAGGUGGAAUUCCGCGUGUAGCAGUGACAUGCGUAGAUAAGCGGAGGAACACCGAUGGCGAAGGCAGCCUCCUGGGAUAACACUGACGCUCAUGCACGAAAGCGUGGGGAGCAAACAGG